CCAGGGAAGGUGGGGAGGGUGGGGCUGGGGCGACGGGGCAGCCUGGUCUGGGCCUCAGGAAGUGGCUUCGGAACUAAGAGCUGGUUUGCUGCUGGGUGAGUCUCUGUUUACUCAGUGGCCCUGCUUCUUGGGCCAAAAUUAACAGCAAAGGCCACAGUGAAAUGGUGAUUUGCGGACCAAUUUAGCUGAAAGAAACCGCUGGUCUCAUGUGUCUAUUUAGAGCAGACGCCUUGCGCUCGCUCUCAUCCAGGGCUGCAUGGGGCCCACACGUGGACUUGGUUUGACCCUUGUAUCAGGAGGAGAAUUUGCUGCUGUUAUUAACUGCAAGAGAGGUCCCCGUGUGAAAACCUUGACCUCUGGCUGCCCUGCACUGCCCUGAGGAUGUGGGGACUCCGGCUGACAGACCUCCCGCACAGCUGCAAGAGGUGCUGUGUAACCUGAAUCCGUGAGUGAAUGCAUGAAAAUUGAUUCAACCAGAUGGACACUUGGGUCACCAUUUCUCUCCCAGUUGAUUCAGAAAGCAAGCAAACAACAAACAACGCUGGCUAUGAGAUUGUUAGCAAUGAGUCCGAAAUUUCCCUUAGUGCUGGAAAACUUUGCUAGCUGAGAUUUCUCUCCCCAUCACACCCAGUUCCCUCCUCCCAAGAUACCAAUUAAACUUUUUUUAAGCCCCUGAGAUGAAGAGGAAUAUCUCUGCUGUGAGGAGUUCCUAAUUCAGUGAUGCUGCUCCUUAGAGAAUCAAGUCUGCCCAGGAAUAGUCUUCCCUAAACUUCUAAACUGGGCUCCUCUGAGACUAGACAUCCUCAAAAAAUGGUCCCACAUGAACUAACUGAGACCAUUUUGCAGACUGUAUUUUCCUUUUAGAGAUUCACAUGUUAGGAUGUGGAAAGGCUCUGAGAAGUCCUACAACUAAUAAACGUC
Cervus elaphus (red deer) is the source of this 921-nucleotide long non-coding RNA. RefSeq lists it as uncharacterized. The record is from RefSeq and is a predicted model, not a curated record. NCBI's taxonomy places the organism in Eukaryota, Metazoa, Chordata, Mammalia, Artiodactyla, Cervidae. The transcript is spliced from 3 exons.